GAGCCGGCUCCUGCUCCAAUUGAAGUCCGCGCAAGCUCCUGUUGAUUGACUUCUGUCGUGCAGGACCGGGCUGGAGGAGCACAGAAGAGACGAGGGUGUACGGAAUAAUUCUGCACCGGUCCCCAGCGGAGGCACCAGGAGAAGUUUGAUCAGAUGCAUUGAGCACUGAGCCCCCCAGCGGUUCACAAUAACCUGGUCAGCAAUGGCAACCUUCUGACCUCUGAAUCUUGUACACCACCAGAAGGGAGCCAGCAGCUGCCAGAUCAGUCUAGUGAAGUGACUCUGGUGCUCACACCAGUCCCCAAGGAGACUUUGCUGCCAGAGCAGCUGCAGCAUGUCCACACUCAGAGGAGCUGUUCGAUGACCCCCUGGAGGAGCAGCCCACUGUGGAAGUAGAAGCAGAAGAGGCAAAAAUAACUCCAGUGCCUGGUAAAUAUUUUGGCUCCAUGGUUGUUGUUAUUAAUACACAAAUGGGAGAGAUUUGUGAUUUAUGAGCCAACACAAUUUUUAUUACAAACCCUGGGUAGGAGUGUGUAUCCACUAAUGGCGGAAUGCACGCCUCAGCAUUUUGGCAUCUGCUCCCUCUAUUCACAUGGCAUUAAAAUGGAGACUGAGAAGUGCAAACAACAGUUAAGCGGUUAACAUUAAAUUUUUACUAGAUACUUGUAUGUUCUUACAAAGAUAUGCUGGAGUGUUAAAAGUAAGAACCUUAUGUUGCCUUUCCUUUUUGUAUGCUGUGCAGUACAAAGUGGCCACGCCACAACAUAACAGGCUACCUGUAAUCUGUACGGGAAGGAGGCAGAAAUGUAGUUUAUGGGUGAUUAAAUCCAUGUCUAAUAGGGCUGGAGGGUUGUAUGUAGUCCAGAAAAGUUUUGAGGGAGAGGAGGUGGCUGUGCAGUUCUUUGAGAGUCCGUAUUAUUGUGUGUGUUGACAUGCAGUCCAUGAGCAGAUGUAGUCACAAUAGACUGUAUCAUAAGCCGUAGGGAUGCAGUAAUCCAUGUGGAUGCUAAUACAGCAUCCUGUUCAUUCCCCCAUGAAUCUUGGGUGCUGAUAGCUACAAACUUUACCUGUAGGAGGAACUCCAGAUAGGCAGUCACAUUUUGGGGAAAGGCAUAUUUUCCAGACCCACCAGCCCACUCCACUUGUUAACGUGUUGCUUGCUCACCGUAAGCUUGAAAACCUCUGUGGAAUACAUGGCUGGCUUGCCACUGGUAGCAUGGAAUAGAAUGGCCCUUUGCCAUUCAGGGAACUCCAGGAUUCUUAUGUCCUCCAGAAUAUGGAAUGCCUGAAAGGACUGAGAAACCUUAGCUAGUAAACCAUGACACACACACCCCUGCCCCCAGGGUAUCAUGGUCUGCACUUUACAAAUGCUAUACUUUUAAAAUUUCACCUUACCGUUGUGUGUACAUUCUUUGCACUCUGCUUAACUCAGUUAUGUCCAUGGAGUUUCUGGGAAUCAAAUCGCUUCUCUAAGAAUAUAAUGAAAGCUGGGUUUACAAAGCAUCAAUUUUUGGCCUUGAGAUUCCACAGGCACUUUUCUCUGAGGAUACAGUGAACCUUUUUUGAAGUACUGCUACAAUAAUGUGCUGUUUGAUGGUGGCUUUCACUCCCUUCCACCUGUGCAGGCCCUUCCACCUCUGCAGCUUAACCACACUCCAGCAGAAGCCUGAGAUUUCUAACGGUCAAAGAGAAAGCAUUUCUGCGAUGAACUUAAGGUGGACAUCCUGGACAGGGCCAACAAGCAGAUACAGUACCAAAGGGAAAAGAAUUCAUGGCAAGUGGAAAGGCACAGACAGGCUACUGAGUGCAAGGAGAGAAUUGAAGCAGGUCAGUUGAGAGUUGCAGCACAGUUUCGGGAGCAGGAACAUUGCUUGAGGGAGGAAGACAGAGCAUGGCGGAAAGACCUGUUUGAGAGGCUGUAAGGGCUAAUGGCCACAAGAGUUCAGGCUUCUGCUCCACCUGUACCACAUCCUGAGCCCUCUCCAUGGUACCAUGUCAUGCAGACUAGGAACACAUUGGACAAUACAAAAGUUGGGUGGCCCAUGCAACCAAGACUGAACACUAGUAGCUGGACAGGUCAAAUACACCCCCAGCAGUCCUCCACCCCCAGGCAUCGUCACCAAGUUUACACUAAAUGUGCUAGAAAGGGAGGCCCAGGGACAUGCAAAAGUAGGGAAUUUAUUUGUUUGCACUGGCUUCACUGUUGAAUGUUUGGGUUAUGCACUUUAUUUUAUUAUGGAUUUUGGUGUUGGUUUAUUACUGGUGUUUUGGUGUUCUAAUGGCAGCUGGCCUGGCUGACAAUGCUUUAAUAUUGUUUGGUUGGGUUUUUUUGUAAUAGACAUGUUCACAAAUAAAGGCUUUUAUUUUAUUA
Molecule: long non-coding RNA, 2371 nt
Organism: Chelonia mydas (Green sea turtle)
Lineage: Eukaryota; Metazoa; Chordata; Testudines; Cheloniidae
Exons: 2
Source: RefSeq, a predicted model, not a curated record